RNAcentral lists this long non-coding RNA (772 nucleotides) under Homo sapiens (human). RNAcentral describes it as "non-protein coding LINC00534:2". The record is from RNAcentral. Lineage: Eukaryota; Metazoa; Chordata; Mammalia; Primates; Hominidae.
GUCUUUUCUGGCAGAUUACUUCUGUGAGCAACUGGGUCUCUCAGUUCUUUGGGAGCACCCUGGGAAACAGUGUGGCUAUGACUUGGAGCUGCUCACCAGUUCCAGUCAUUCUGUGGUUGAGAGCUGCUCCCUAUGGAUGUUAAUUCUUCUCUAUUUUAGAUUUUCCACAGGUGUGGGCCCCAUUAGCUCUGGCCACCUGAGAAAGCCCUCAGGCAAAGAGUCGCAGGUGAAAGCCAGCAGUUAGAGGUUCACAGAAAUGAGUGCAGAAGCAUCUUCAGUUGGAGAGCCAUUGCCUCUUGCUGUGAAAUAUUUGGGAAUCUUCAGAAACCAUGAAGAAUAACCUGCUAAAGGGUUUUAUUUUGUCAGUCAAGCUGGAAUGCAGUGGCGUGAACAUUGCUUACUGCAGCUUCAAUCUCCUGAGGUCAAACAAUCUUCUCACCUCAGCCUCGCAAGCAGCUAGGACUACAGGCAUGUGCCACCACGCCCCACUAAUUUUUUAAUUUUUCUUUUGUGGAGACGCAGUCUUGUUAUCUUGAACAGGCUGGUCUUGAACUCUUGGAGUCAAGCAAUCCUUCUGCCUCAGACUCUCAAAGUGCUGGGAUUACAGGCAUGAGCCACCACAUUCAGCCAGGAAAAGUUUUUGUACAUUUAAAAAAUUAUAGGAUAUUUGUGUAUAUAGCUUUGCUGGUUUGACUUCCUAGAAUAGCUCCCAGGAACACAAAGUACUUAAUUGAUUAGUAUAAAAUGAUUAUGUCAUACUCACAUGUUGGUU